Long non-coding RNA from Bubalus bubalis (water buffalo), 608 nucleotides. RefSeq lists it as uncharacterized. NCBI's taxonomy places the organism in Eukaryota, Metazoa, Chordata, Mammalia, Artiodactyla, Bovidae. The record is from RefSeq and is a predicted model, not a curated record. The transcript has 2 exons.
CUUUUAUUUUUUAACCCAGGUGUGUCUAUUCUAAAUCGUGAAUUAAGACUGCUGAUGAACUCAAGUUUUGCUGAUUCUGGUUGACUGAAUGUUCGUAUGGCCCCACAUGUUGAAAUCGUAACCUCCAGUGUGAUGGUGAUAGGAGGUGGGGCUUUGGGAGGUGAUUGGAUCAUUGAUCCUCCUGAAUGGGAUCAGUGCCUUAUAAAACAGAUGCCAGAGAGCUCUCUUGUCCUCUCCACCACAUGAGGACACUUGAGAAAAUGGCCAUCUGCAACCCAGAAGGGGGCCCUCACAGAAUCCGACCUUGCUGCCACCCUGACCUUGGACUUCUAGCCUCCAGAACUGUGAAAAGCUGUGAUCAAAGAAAGAGAUGUGACAACAGAAGAAGAGUCAGAGAGAUGCUGGUUUUGCAGAUGGAUGAAGCGGGCCAUGAGCCAAGGAAUGUGGGAAGCUUCUAGAAGCUGGUGAAGUGAGGAAAUGCAUUCUUCCCUGUGGUCUGCAGAAGAAUGCAGCCCUGCCGAUGCCUUGACUUCAAGACUUCUGACCUGCAGAACUGUAAGGCUAUUGCAGUGAUUUUGGAAUCCAAGAAAAUAAAGUCUGUCACUGCU